Molecule: long non-coding RNA, 1394 nt
Organism: Brienomyrus brachyistius
Lineage: Eukaryota; Metazoa; Chordata; Actinopteri; Osteoglossiformes; Mormyridae
Exons: 4
Source: RefSeq, a predicted model, not a curated record
UUAUUGGUGAGAGGGAGUUGCUGGCCAAGAUUAUUCUGAGCUCGAAUCUAUUGCUCCAGGGACCAGAUGGAAUCGUAGGUCCUGACCAACGGACCAAUCCAGCUGGCUCCUAAUGUAUUCGAGAUAAACAUACCUUAAUGAACCUCUUGCCAGGGAAAAGUGUUUUCGUUUCUACUCCCUUCCACCUCUGGGUUUUACUGAAGCUAAAGGAUCAUUUUUCCGUCUAUGUAAAUGGGAAAAAAUGCUCGCGCACACGUUAACGGAUGGAACGGAUGCAAGAGGACGAUUCUUCUCCCCUAGGAAAACAACUGAAUUCUGAGAGGGGACAGAGGUCCCAUGUCCCCGAUCUUGUCUUGUCUGAGAGACAAUGAAACGGGUCCGAUUGCACUGGGGCCUCUAUUAAACCGAAUGGCAUGAAUAGGUAAUCUGAAGGUGAAUGGUGAAGUGUAUCAGCCCUUUGGAGAAGAUACGUAUCAUUGAAUAUGACCUCCUGAUCACUGCCGCUUCUGCAGAUGGGCAUCUCUGCAAUAAGAAAUGUCUGGAAUUGUUCCACGGUCCCUAAUUGGGGCCUACAGAGCCAACGAUCGAACUCCCGCCAAGUCGUCCCUCCAGCUCCGAGGACCAGGCACUUAAGACCCAGAAACCUGGCCAGCAGAAGAGAAACAGAAUCUGCAGAAGAGAGGAGGAUGCAAGGACCAGCUGGUGACAGACUGAUGGAGCCACACAAUAAUGCCAGUGAAGAAGAGGCGGACAAGCUGGGCUGAAAAACGGCAGAGUUUACCGAAUGCAGAAUAAGUUUUAUUUGCCAUUUGAACAUGUACAGAAGUGCAAUGGAAUUCUUACACAGUUCCCUUGGUUCAGGGCUGCCAACUUUCAUGCAUCUUUCUCACUCUCGUGCUCUCGCAAAAAAAUCUUACGCCAAAUCUAUUAUCUAUUAUGAACCUAAAAUUAACUAUAUCAAACGUGGACGGGCAGUCGGCAAACUUUACAAGAUAAAACUGUUACAUGUAUGUAAAUGGGUGAGCAUGUGCAUGUGUGUGCAGACUUCUCCGGAAUUGAGAACCUCGCACCAGCUAGCUGACCAAAACUUGUAACCCUCUUGGUCAAGGUUGAAAAACAACAGGAAAGCCUAUGACAGUAGUAUGGAAGAUGCAGUCAGGAUUUUACUGUGUUGUUAAAUAAACUUUAAUAGAUGAAAGGAUAAAACAAAGUGCAUGAUAAAUAUCUAUUAAGUAAGGUGCCUUCAAAGUGUGUGAUAGUUGGGGGUGUGAUUUAAGAGUUUAGGCCCUUGUAUCUUUUCUUAUGUUGGUUUCCAUUGGGAGGCAGUAAGAUGCUAUAAACAGGAAUUUCGAGGACCAGAGGUAAAAAUCCUGGACGUUCUCUGAGGAUCCUGA